UGGACCCGUCUUUAUGACCUCUCUUCUAGGUUUUUCUUUCUAUUUGCUUUAAUCAGUGUAACUUUUGUUUUUUCAUUUUUAUUUGUGUGUGUGUGUGUGUGUGUGUGUGUGUGUGUGUGAGAGAGAGAGAGAGAGAGAGAGAGAGAGAGGGAGGGAGAGAGAGAAAGAAAGAAAGAAAGACAGACAGACAGACAGACAGAAAGACUGUAGAGAAAAAAAAAAAAGAGGCCAGGCGUGGUGGCUCACACCUUUAAUCCCAGCACUUGGGAGGCAGAGGCAGGUGGAUUUCUGAGUUCGAGGACAGACUGGUCUAUAGAGUGAGUUCCAGGACAGCCUGGGCUACACAGAGAAAUCCUGUCAAGUGUAGAGGCAAGAAGACAACUCUGAUUCUUCUUGGGUGGGUUCUGGUGUCACAUACAGCAAGUUGUUCUACCUGGUGGGCCACCUGACCAACCCACCUUUGCUGUUUUCUGUAUAUUGGUCAUUUUCUUUCAUUUUCAUUGUGUUGUAUGUUUUAAUUGAUUACAUUUUUGGAGACAGGGUCUCAUCAUGUAGCCCUGGCUGGCAUAGGCUGGCUUUGAACUCACAGAGAUCUGCUUCCUGUCUCCUGAGUGUUUGGAUUGAAGGUGUGAGGCACUGUGCCAAACUUGUAUGUUAUGUUUUGAAACAGGCUUGUGCUGUAUUGUAUUGGCAGACUGGGAACCAGCUGCGUAGCCCAGGCUGGCUGGUGACAGUUCUCCUUUGCCUCCUAGUAUUGUUCUAUGUAUGUGCGAGCCACUGUGACCUUCUUUGGUGGCUCUUUUUAAAAAGUAAUAUCUUAAAUCUAGACUAAGCUGACUGUGAACCUAUCCUCUUGCCUCAAGAGCUGGAUUUCUAAGGUAUGCCGCCAUUAUGAAUAUGCCAGUGUCUCCCCCACACCCAUCUUAACAGUUUAAGUUCAUGUAUUUGGUUAUUAAUCUCCUGUUAGUAUUGUAUAUAUAGCUUUUGUUUUCAAUAUUGAGCAUUUUAAAGUUUAUAAAGUUAUGUAUUUGAUUAUUAGUUUUUUAUUAGAGUUACAUAUAUAGUUUUUGUUUUUAAUAUUGACUGUAGGGGAAGGAUUUUAAUUUCUUUGAUUAGGAAGGAAUAAAUAUUUCUUGAUUGGGGUUUGUACUCAAAAGACUGGUGUUGGUGCAUAGCCCCUGUAAAUAUGUCACUGUAGACUCCCCGUUUCUGAGGUUCAUAUCUCCAAGAAUUGAGACUUUUGGGUAUUUUCAGAGCUAAUCCUCUUCGGCUUAUGUUGGUUGCUAUUAACUGGUUGGCCCAGAUUACUGUGCCAGAUGCGAAGUUCUGGUCUAGUGCCUGCCUAGCAAGCAGUUACAGUAGCUCAUUAAUGGUUAAAGUGAAGGCUUUUCUGGAAUUGCCAGCUAUUUUCUCAGAAGGGGUUAAAGUGCUGUGAGUUUAACUAAAUCCAGCUGCCUUGGGCAUUUGCCACUGGUAUGUAAGAGAAGGGGAGUGUGUGGCUCAGGAGAUAGAACUUGAACAGGAGAUUGCCAAGAGUGACCUGGCAUUGCCAGAUCAGUUAGUAUUUAUUUAUUCCAGGAUUGUUUGAACACCAUUAGAUUACUUAACCCUUCCCAAAGUUACACCAGGGAAAGUUAUUGUCUUCAUUUCCUGUAUUCAGAUACCCAAAUACUAAGUAAUUUAGUUAAGUUAUGGUUUAGUCUGAAAAUAUUCAGUACCUUAUUAACCCAGUCUUAAAUUGUCAUUAGCUUUAAGAGACUUCAUUAAGAAUGGGGUAGGGCCUAACCCUCAUCCUAUCUCUUUAAUCCCACCACUCGGGAGGCAGAGAGAGGCAGGUGGAUCUCUGAGUUCCAGGACAGUUAGGGCUAUACAUAGACAUCCUGUCUCAAG
Molecule: long non-coding RNA, 1890 nt
Filed under: Mus musculus (house mouse)
Lineage: Eukaryota; Metazoa; Chordata; Mammalia; Rodentia; Muridae
Description: long non-coding RNA chr12:111049006-111050896
Source: RNAcentral